CUGGAGGACAGGUGGCUGCAUGGCUGUCGUCAGCUCGUGUCGUGAGAUGUUGGGUUAAGUCCCGCCAACGAGCGCAACCCUUGCCUUUAGUUGCCAGCAGUUCGGGCUGGGCGACUCUAAAGGGACUGCCGGUGUUAAACCGGAGGAAGGUGGGGGAGUGACGUCAAGUCCUCAUGGCCUUUAUGACCAGGGCUACACACGUACUACAAUGGCCGAUACAAAGGGCAGCGACACUGCGAGGUGAAGCCAAUCCCGUAAAAUACGGUCUCAGUCCGGAUUGGAGUCUGCAACUCGACUCCAUGAAGUUGGAAUCGCUAGUAAUCGUGGAUCAGCAUGCCACGGUGAAUACGUUCCCCGGGCCUU
RNAcentral lists this ribosomal RNA (363 nucleotides) under uncultured Desulfobulbus sp. RNAcentral's name for it is "bacterial SSU rRNA". It matches the Rfam family "Bacterial small subunit ribosomal RNA", at positions 1027 to 1382 of the family's 1533-position model. The record is from RNAcentral. Lineage: Bacteria; Pseudomonadati; Thermodesulfobacteriota; Desulfobulbia; Desulfobulbales; Desulfobulbaceae.